CGUUUAAUGGUUGCCUAGCAAUAGGUAGCCAUGGCGUACGGCUCAGUAAAACAUGAAUAAUCUGCCCUUGAGAGGGGAAUAAGCUCGGGAAAUUGAGCAUAAUACCCCAUAGGCCUGAAAAACUGGAACGUUUUCAGGCUAAAAGCGCUUAGCGCUCAAGGAUGAGUUCAUGGCCUAUCAGGUAGUAGCAAGUGUAAAGUACUUGCUAGCCUACGACGGGUACGGGUCUUGGGAGAGAGAGCCCGGAGAUGGAUUCUGAGACACGAAUCCAGGCCCUACGGGGCGCAGCAGGCGCGAAAACUUCGCGAUGCACGAAAGUGCGACGAGGGAAUCCCAAGUGUCAGUGCAUUUUGUACUGACUGUUCUUCAGUCUAAACAGCUGGAGGAGUAAGGGCUGGGUAAGACGGGUGCCAGCCGCCGCGGUCACACCCGCAGCCCAAGUGGGGGCCAUUAUUAUUGGGUCUAAAACAUCCGUAGCUGGUUUAGUAAAUGCUCAGGGAAAUUGGGUGGCUUAACCAUCCGAAGUCUGGGUAGACUACUAAACUUGAGACCGGGAGAGGUCAGGAGUACUCUUGGGGUAGUGGUAAAAUGCUGCAAUCCUUAGAGGACUACCGGUGGCGAAGGCGCCUGACCAUAACGGCUCUGACAGUGAGGGAUGAAGCCCUGGGGCGCGAACCGGAUUAGAUACCCGGGUAGUCCAGGGUGUAAACGCUGCUAGCUUGGUGUUGGAUAACCCACGUGGUUAUUCAGUGCCGGAGAGAAGUUGUUAAGCUAGCUACCUGGGAAGUACGGUCGCAAGGCUGAAACUAAAGGAAGGGGCGGGGGAAGCACUGCAACG
Molecule: ribosomal RNA, 838 nt
Filed under: uncultured Thermoplasmatales archaeon
Lineage: Archaea; Methanobacteriati; Thermoplasmatota; Thermoplasmata; Thermoplasmatales
Description: bacterial SSU rRNA
Rfam family: Archaeal small subunit ribosomal RNA
Source: RNAcentral